This is a long non-coding RNA of Zea mays, 506 nucleotides long. RefSeq lists it as uncharacterized. NCBI's taxonomy places the organism in Eukaryota, Viridiplantae, Streptophyta, Magnoliopsida, Poales, Poaceae. The record is from RefSeq and is a predicted model, not a curated record. The transcript has 2 exons.
UAACAGACCAUGCUGGAGAACACGAAGAUGGGCACAACCGAAUACCAGCCGGGCGCAUGCUCACAAGUCCGUAAAGGUGAUGGCACCGCAACCCUCUUUCCUCCCCGUUUGAGGAUUUCUAAGCUACCGCGAGAGAAAUAGAGAGAAUGGGGAGUGAAAGUCGGAGCACCGCCGUUGUAGCCGCAUACUGGUGUUUGCCGCAAACGGGUCCGAUCGGGAGUCUUCAUCAGAGAGCGGUGAAGGUUGCAGCGGUUCCGGUGCUGGGAGAAGACCACUGGGGGCCAUGAGAUUUCUCACCAGAGCCAGGGAAGGGCCACCGGCCGCACCACGCCGUGGCCAAACAUCGUCGCGUCAUCAUCGUCGUGGAUGGAAGGGCGCCGCCGCCCGGUGCCGGCUAUGGGAGGAGAUGCGAAGGAGACCUAAUCUUAGGAAAAAAACAAAACUAUUUUUGUAGGUAUCUAUAUGCUUGAAUGUUUGUUCUUAUGAUACCUGUUUGAUUUGGUUCU